GGCUCAGGAUGAACGCUAGCGGCAGGCUUAACACAUGCAAGUCGAGGGGCAGCGGGAUGUAGCAAUACAUUGCCGGCGACCGGCGGAUGGGUGCGUAACGCGUAUGCAACCUACCUUAUACAGGGGAAUAACCUUCGAAAGGGAGACUAACACCCCAUAGUAUUGAUUUAAGGCAUCUUAGAUUAAUUAAAUAUUUAUAGGUAUAAGAUGGGCAUGCGUAUGAUUAGCUAGUUGGUAAGGUAACGGCUUACCAAGGCGACGAUCAUUAGGGGUUCUGAGAGGAAGGUCCCCCACACUGGUACUGAGACACGGACCAGACUCCUACGGGAGGCAGCAGUGAGGAAUAUUGGUCAAUGGGCGCAAGCCUGAACCAGCCAUGCCGCGUGCAGGAAAAGACGGCCUUAUGGGUUGUAAACUGCUUUUACAUAAGACUAACCGUAUAUUUGCGAAUAUACCUGAAUGUAUUAUGAGAAUAAGGAUCGGCUAACUCCGUGCCAGCCGCAGC
Molecule: ribosomal RNA, 505 nt
Filed under: uncultured bacterium
Lineage: Bacteria
Description: bacterial SSU rRNA
Rfam family: Bacterial small subunit ribosomal RNA
Source: RNAcentral